CCUAUGUUGGGUUAAGGAGAGAAUAUAUGAAUAAUAUUCUUGCUCAGGUGAUUGCUUAAUAUCUUUCUUUUAUUUCACAUGCACAUACUGUCAUUUAUUAUCUCCGUGCAAAGCAUGAUGAUUUAAUCAAUAAUUUUUGCCUGGUUUAUAUUUCGGUUUAUCCUUGGAGUGCUUCUGCAAUUUCUACUCAGUGCUUGACUGCUUUCAUAGGAUGUCCUACGUGCUCAGUUUAUGUACUCCACCUGGGAUUGAAGUGUAGAGUCUACUGGCCCUUGCACGAUGCAGUACAAACUACUCUUGCAGCAGCACUCCUCCUAUUGUGACCUGUUUCGUUCUGUUUUUCCAAUUCUCAGUACGAAUUUGUGAGGAGCUCUUGCAGUUAAGCGAAGUGUAUUUAGGACAAAUAAUUCUGCGACAUUUGAUAUCAUGGGCCUGCGGUGGCAGUUAGCACUAAUGCACAAGUUUUAUACCACAGUGCACUCAUAGAUGACCCUAGAUAUUCUCUAUCUUUCCCAUGGCUUGAGUUUAUGGUGCUUCAUCCUGGCUAGAAAUCAUGUAUAUUUGACAAUUGGUACGAGUAUUUUAUUUGCCUCCCACCUUUUCUGUUUGAAAUAAGAUUCGUGUACUAAUCAUAUAGAAUUUAGUGAAAAAGUAAUAUUUAGAACCAUUACACAAAUUCAGAACAUUGAGCAAUUAAACUCUUGCAUUAAGCACCUGCAAUGAUAAAGGAAAAGGUAUCUGAAAACCACCUGCAAUAUUGAGAAAUUUAGUGAAAACUUCUCAUCAAAAAUGAAAUUUUCUUGGACAAUAAGCAAUUAAUCCUGUAGUAUAUAUGUCAUACCCUCUUACAUACAUGAUGGAGCUUUCCAAGCUUGAGUUUUAUUUUUCAACACCACUUGAAAAUUAGAAAGCUCUUCUUAGUUUGACCAAAAGUGCAUCUGCAAUAAUAUAUUAGUAUCUUUGUUUAUACGAUUUCGAAACCACUUCUCAUAAUCUACAUUUGAUACCAUAGACUAGAAUAUAUCCCUUGAUAGCAGAUUUGUUUGUUGUAAGCAAUAAUGUUAAAUACUUACUAAUGUUUUAGAUGAUGAUUCAUGACAAUGUCGGACAGUUCGUUGAGCAAAGUGGUGGGAAGCUCCCGAAAACAUCCAUUCCAAUCAUUGUGAAGGUUGAUUUUACCUAUUUCGCUUAAAUGGUGACCUCCUUGCACUCACAUUUUUUUUGCUUAGGAUGCUCAUGCGAUGGUGUGAUGUACAUGUACCUCAGCCAGUUCAUUGAGCAAAGCGGUGGAAGCUCCCAAAACGGUAUGAGUUUAAAACAUGUUCUGGAAUAAUUGCUUAUCUUGUGUUUUAGCUGAUCAAUAUCAUCGAGUGAAAGAUGCUUAUCUAGACCUUUUGAUGCAUAAUAAUUAUCAAGUUAAGAUUUUUAAGGCGUGCUUUUUUGCAGGUUCAUUGCUGGUUUUCUUUUCUCCGAGGUGUGCUCCACAUCCCUCUGCUUGAUCAAUAUGAGGGGCGUUGCUGCUGCAUGACGUCGCUACAUUCCUUUGUUCGUUCGUCAGGUAUGGGGAGUUUGAGGCUCAUAUCUCAAAUAACACUUCCAACACUAUUUGCUAAGUAUUUUCAAUAACGAUGUUUUAUGGUGGAUAACCAAUUGUUGGUUUCCUGUACACUUAAGCCAACAAACACAAAAUCAACAUAUUUCCUCCUUUUCUAAUCGCGAUAACACAAUUUUUUAAGGAUUUUUUCGAAUCUGCUCAUCACUUUUUUUCCAUGAUAUGGGGACUACAUACAUUGCUCUGUUUGAGAUAUUAGCUACCAAUAGGUAUCUCUUGCUGUACUCAAACUAUCAAUAAAUAAAUGAGACAUGCAUGGUUUGUUUUGGCAGUAUACCUUUUUUCUCUUGCCCUUUGGUCAUGUGAGCCAGGUGAACUGUUACAAAUUUUGAUUUCUACAUCCAGUCCAAGCAGUGGUGGAGCUUAGUUGAAACAAAACUGGGCUAUGGCCCGCCCAACUUUGGAGAUUUUCUUCAUACAUAUUGGUAAAUUUAGCCCAAUAACAACCCAUAUUACUCUCCUUAAGCCUAAUGGCCUGCCCAGGUUUUCCUGGCAAGCUCCGCUACCGAGUCCAAGAACCAUCUUGAUUUUAACCAAGUUCUAUAAAUAGUGAGGGAUCAAGCAACCGUUUCGACCUCGAGGUGAACAUUCCGAAUGAGAUGGACCCUGAUAUUGGUGUGAAAGGGAGACAUGGGAGAUUCGAUGGCAGACCUUAGCAGUUGUGGCUUAAUGUGAUCGGACCUGUUCCCUUCAGAUUUGCAUAUGAUUUUGUUAUAGAGCCUUUUUUCUAACAUCAUAUUAUUAUGGGUUUGAGUGUAAGAAAUACAAAUGGUAUUUACCUUUUCCUCGGUCUUUCCAGAAUUUUCUCAUUCUUAUGGACCAUCGGUUCAUUGUUGUGGCUUAGUUUUCUAGCUUAGUGCUAUCUAAUUGGUAGGCUAUAUAUGAUAUGUGUAGGUCCUGAAAACUCACAAGAGCUGUAAAUUCUUUUAUGUACUAACUGAUAAGUUGGAAUAGUAAUUGUUCUGUGUGCAUCAUGAAACUUACAA
This is a long non-coding RNA of Lolium perenne, 2598 nucleotides long. RefSeq lists it as uncharacterized. NCBI's taxonomy places the organism in Eukaryota, Viridiplantae, Streptophyta, Magnoliopsida, Poales, Poaceae. The record is from RefSeq and is a predicted model, not a curated record.